AUUUACACCGACACAACGGACAGCGCCUCCCUGGUCCGUUCGGUCGCAAGGAUGUCGUUCCGUUGCACGGACGGCAAGCGAUGCAACCGGAUGGGCACGGAAGCGAGCGGCAACAUGGAGCAGUAACAGAUCGUGGCUGCGGGCGACGGGGCCAACACGCCGUCGUCCUGUCUUCCGUGAGUGGAUCCAGCGUGUGGAACCAGCGGACGCGCGAUGCGGGCGCUCGAUCCUCGGGAUGCGGCGUGGAGUCUCCGGCGCUCUCGCUGCUCCCGGCCGCACUAGCGCCUCCGCGCGGGAUGCGACGGAGUCUCCGGCGCUCUCCCUGCUCGCUGCUCUGUCGCUUCGCCCAUCAUGCAGCUGCCCCGCGCUCCACUCCCUCCAACAGCGCAUAGCACUGCCCUCUCCUAGAAACGCUCUGCCACCUCCUUGCCUACCCUCCUCCAUUGGCCAUCCACGUCUUGGCCACAAGCGCCCUGCCCUGCCGUUUUCCUGGCCUGUCCACACACCUAAGCCCUUCCACGCUUCACGCCCACGGUGCCGGAGACACGCUAACCUGGUAUGUGUACGAUAGCGGCAUACACAAUUCUGAAUUUUUUGUAAUUUACAAUAUUCAGGUUUGUUCAUCUUGUAUAAUUGUUCCCAUGUUCAAUACCAAUGUCUGCUAUUUUCUACGGUGUACACAUUUUGCUCUCGGUUCUAAGCUAUCCAAGGCAAUGGACUUUUUCCGGCCAUGUUUCAGAAAGAAGGUACAUAUAAUUGCAAAUCUUACUACACAGUGCAAACGAGUGUAUUGGAGCAAGGUCUUAGAUAUGGAGUAAGCAGAUUCCUGAAAUAAUGAGUUUUCUGAACCAUGAAAAUUUACGAACACAAAUCGGUCUUCUUCCUCUUUUCCUUUCCCCGCAGCAGGCGGUGGUAGAGAUUGGCAUUUGCCGGUGGCGACAACGAGGAGGAGGCAACUUCAAUGAUGACGUAUGGUGGCUGCGGCGGCGGUGUGUGUGAGGGGAAUGAGGCCACGACGACGGAUCCAACAUGAUAAGUUCCUUCUCAGCCCCUCCCUUGUUUGCUAGCACCACCGCACCCUUCUCCUCUUGUAGGUUCCCCUUGCUUCUAUAGGUCAACUGGUUUUCUCUGGUCCUGUUGAUUGAUUUGGUUAGCUUUAGCUAGCUCUGUUCAUGCCAUUAAUACUGAGUGAGACUCUUACCAGUGGUGAUAUGUUUAUUUGAUUUAGCAGGGCCUGGUGAUGAUGGCCUUCUUCAGGAUGCGUGAACCUCUGAUGUUGAUGGUCAAGAAGGCAACGACCACAUGACAACAAUGCAAACAAGUGAACCAGAGGCUCCUAUUGCGGACGCUACAAGAAUGUUUUUUUAGUAAAUCUGAAACAGCCAUUUACGCAUUAUUAGCUAUUCAUAUUUUCUAUUAUCUAUUAUAUUUUUAGUUGUGUGAGUGCUCAUUGGCUGCUUUCCCACUAUAUACUGUAGGAGGGUGAUAAUGCAAGUACAUCCUUGUGAUAGCUAAUUAGGCAUAAACCCAUGUCCAUGCAAUACAAAUUGUUUGCUUUGUGCCAGCUUUUGGAGAGGAGACGGGCGUGGGUGAUCUUAAUGAUUUUUGAGACAUGGUAAAUCCCAACCUAUCUCUUGCCGUUGUCGUUCCUGAUCUGGCAACCUCUUUAAUUAAAUCCCAACCCAAUACUACUUGAUUCGGUGGUUAUUUGCUAUUUAUAAUUAAAUUCGGUCAACGUGGUCUCUCUCUUCUACAUGGAUUCCAUUUCCCUUUUUUUCUAAUGAAUGAAAAGAAAAAGGGGGUAGCAUAAAGAAAAGCUCCUGGACCAGAAUUUUGUACUUUUUUCCUUCUUAUGAAGUACAUUGGAAUGUCAUUAUUUGUUUUGUCAGUUGUGCUAGUGGAGACUUGAAAAUAUAUGAAUAUAUUUCUCCUCUCUUUC
Molecule: long non-coding RNA, 1939 nt
Organism: Triticum dicoccoides
Lineage: Eukaryota; Viridiplantae; Streptophyta; Magnoliopsida; Poales; Poaceae
Exons: 2
Source: RefSeq, a predicted model, not a curated record